Small nuclear RNA from Peromyscus eremicus (cactus mouse), 106 nucleotides. NCBI's taxonomy places the organism in Eukaryota, Metazoa, Chordata, Mammalia, Rodentia, Cricetidae. The record is from RefSeq and is a predicted model, not a curated record.
GUGCUUGCUUCUGCAGCACUUAACGAUAAAAUUGAACAAUACAGAGAUGAUUAGUAUGGCCCUGCACAAAAAGGACAUGCAAACUUGUGAAGUGUUUCAUAUUUUU